UACGUAGGGUGCAAGCGUUGUCCGGAAUUAUUGGGCGUAAAGAGCUCGUAGGCGGUCUGUCGCGUCUGCUGUGAAAACUCAGGGCUUAACCCUGAGCUUGCAGUGGGUACGGGCAGACUAGAGUGCGGUAGGGGAGACUGGAAUUCCUGGUGUAGCGGUGAAAUGCGCAGAUAUCAGGAGGAACACCGGUGGCGAAGGCGGGGUCUCUGGGCCGUAACUGACGCUGGAGGGAGCGGAAAAGCAUGGGGAGCGAACAGG
Molecule: ribosomal RNA, 258 nt
Filed under: uncultured bacterium
Lineage: Bacteria
Description: partial 16S ribosomal RNA
Rfam family: Bacterial small subunit ribosomal RNA
Source: RNAcentral